RNAcentral lists this ribosomal RNA (227 nucleotides) under uncultured bacterium. RNAcentral describes it as "partial 16S ribosomal RNA". It matches the Rfam family "Bacterial small subunit ribosomal RNA", at positions 15 to 231 of the family's 1533-position model. The record is from RNAcentral.
GAUCAUGGCUCAGGAUGAACGCUAGCUACAGGCUUAACACAUGCAAGUCGAGGGGCAGCGGGAUUGAAGCUUGCUUCAAUUGCCGGCGACCGGCGCACGGGUGAGUAACGCGUAUCCAACCUUCCGUACACUCAGGGAUAGGCCUUUAGAAAGAAAGAUUAAUACCUGAUGGUAUGAUGAGAUUUGCAUGAUAGCAUCAUUAAAGAUUUAUCGGUGUACGAUGGGGA